AGUCGAGUGGUAAUGCACUUGACUGCAGACACUCAAGUCGGCGGUUCGAUUC
RNAcentral lists this transfer RNA (52 nucleotides) under Eutreptiella gymnastica. RNAcentral describes it as "partial tRNA". The record is from RNAcentral. Lineage: Eukaryota; Euglenozoa; Euglenophyceae; Eutreptiales; Eutreptiaceae.